RNAcentral lists this ribosomal RNA (498 nucleotides) under Alternaria alternata. RNAcentral's name for it is "eukaryotic LSU rRNA". The stretch from base 162 to 315 matches the Rfam family "5.8S ribosomal RNA". The record is from RNAcentral. Lineage: Eukaryota; Fungi; Ascomycota; Dothideomycetes; Pleosporales; Pleosporaceae.
AAUAUGAAGGCGGGCUGGAACCUCUCGGGGUUACAGCCUUGCUGAAUUAUUCACCCUUGUCUUUUGCGUACUUCUUGUUUCCUUGGUGGGUUCGCCCACCACUAGGACAAACAUAAACCUUUUGUAAUUGCAAUCAGCGUCAGUAACAAAUUAAUAAUUACAACUUUCAACAACGGAUCUCUUGGUUCUGGCAUCGAUGAAGAACGCAGCGAAAUGCGAUAAGUAGUGUGAAUUGCAGAAUUCAGUGAAUCAUCGAAUCUUUGAACGCACAUUGCGCCCUUUGGUAUUCCAAAGGGCAUGCCUGUUCGAGCGUCAUUUGUACCCUCAAGCUUUGCUUGGUGUUGGGCGUCUUGUCUCUAGCUUUGCUGGAGACUCGCCUUAAAGUAAUUGGCAGCCGGCCUACUGGUUUCGGAGCGCAGCACAAGUCGCACUCUCUAUCAGCAAAGGUCUAGCAUCCAUUAAGCCUUUUUUUCAACUUUUGACCUCGGAUCAGGUAGG